This 772-nucleotide unclassified non-coding RNA is filed under the name Hevea brasiliensis (rubber tree). Lineage: Eukaryota; Viridiplantae; Streptophyta; Magnoliopsida; Malpighiales; Euphorbiaceae. The record is from RNAcentral.
GGGCGCCGCUAGUGCUGGAGAGGGGCCAGGGGUGCGUGCUGUAUGAUGUGGAGGGGCGGGAGUAUCUCGACAUGACGGCCGGGAUCGCGGUGAACUCUCUGGGGCACGGCGAUCCGGACUGGCUGAAGGCGGUGAUGGAGCAGGCUGGAACCCUCACUCACGUCAGCAACAUGUAUUAUUCUGUCCCGAUGGUGACACUUGGAAAGCGCCUUGUAGAGUGUUCAUUUGCUGACCGCGUUUUCUUGGUAAAUUCCGGGACAGAAGCAAAUGAAGCGGCUAUCAAAUUUGCCCGGAAAUUCCAAAGAAAGUCUUGUGACGCUGAGGAGCCUGCCACGGAGUUCAUUUCCUUUACAAAUAGUUUCCAUGGAAGAACAAUGGGCGCACUUGCUCUGACGAGUAAAAAGUAUUACAGGGAACCCUUUGAGCCAGUUAUGCCUGGAGUCACAUUUGUGGAGUAUGGAAACAUCGAAGAAGUCAAAAAAGCAAUACAACCCGGCAAAACUGCAGCUGUUUUUGUGGAACCUAUACAGGGUGAAGGUGGGAUACAUAGUGUCACAAAGGAGUUUCUACAAUCACUUCGUGCUGUUUGUGAUGAAUCUGGAGCACUCCUAGUUUUUGAUGAGGUACAAUGUGGGUUAGGCCGAACAGGCCGUCUCUGGGCCCAUGAGGCUUACGGUGUGACACCCGAUAUCAUGACACUCGCCAAACCUCUCGCUGGAGGCCUGCCGAUUGGCGCUGUACUGAUGACUGAGAAGGUGGCUUCUGCAAUGAG